RNAcentral lists this ribosomal RNA (495 nucleotides) under uncultured bacterium. RNAcentral's name for it is "partial 16S ribosomal RNA". It matches the Rfam family "Bacterial small subunit ribosomal RNA", at positions 28 to 507 of the family's 1533-position model. The record is from RNAcentral.
GACGAACGCUGGCGGCGUGCCUAAUACAUGCAAGUAGAACGCUGAAGGGGGAGCUUGCUUCUCCGGAUGAGUUGCGAACGGGUGAGUAACGCGUAGGUAACCUGCCUGGUAGCGGGGGAUAACUAUUGGAAACGAUAGCUAAUACCGCAUAAUAGUAGAUGUUGCAUGACAUUUGCUUAAAAGGUGCAAUUGCACCACUACCAGAUGGACCUGCGUUGUAUUAGCUAGUUGGUGGGGUAACGGCUCACCAAGGCGACGAUACAUAGCCGACCUGAGAGGGUGAUCGGCCACACUGGGACUGAGACACGGCCCAGACUCCUACGGGAGGCAGCAGUAGGGAAUCUUCGGCAAUGGACGGAAGUCUGACCGAGCAACGCCGCGGGAGUGAAGAAGGUUUUCGGAUCGUAAAGCUCUGUUGUAAGAGAAGAACGAGUGUGAGAGUGGAAAGUUCACACUGUGACGGUAUCUUACCAGAAAGGGACGGCUAACUACGUG